CAUAGUGCAAAGAGUUACUUAAGGCAAAGCCUUCUCUUGUAAACAGCAAACAGGCCCUAAACAAACAAGCGUGACUGCUAUAAUAAUAAAUAAAAAAAAAAGGGUUAAGGGAACAAACUGCAGUUUUUGGGAGGUCUCCUUUCCCCCCCAGCCUGUAACUCAUGUAGGGAACAUUGCACCCCCUGAUCCAUGAGCUGGUCCCAAGGGAAUGCUGCUGCCCGUGGCCACAAGCAGGGCCACAAUCCCAGUCCUGAGUGACUCCAGGUGCAGCUCCCUGACUCCUCUGCAAGUGCCCGGGACAAGGCAGAGCCUGAGCUCACACUCCCUUCUCUGGUCAGGGCUUGGCUGCUCCCAAGUGUUGGUGGCUGGAGAGAGCCAUCAUGGCCAAGGGAGGUGUGUGGGGAGGCACAGGGACAAGUGGUUGAGCAAUGGGGAGAUUUGCAUCCCUUUGAAGUGGAGUGGAAGCAGCUGAGAGCCCUUCUAACAGCCAGCAGUGCUCAGGGGCACUCGGCCCAGGGAAUCUUUCCAACUCCCAGGAAACCUGGGAGUGACCAGCCCUGGCGGUGCCUUUCCGAGCAAAGCCACUCAACAAGAAGACAGUUCCUUGCUAGAGCCCAGGUUUACAGCUCAGAGGCAUCUCCCAGCAGUCUGGCCUCUCUGCUCCUUCUGUUUUGGCUUAAAUUGCUAAUCAAGAAGGAAAAUAGAAGGAAACCCAUGCCAGCUGCCCUCAGGCUCUUGGCUUGCACUCCAGAGCCAAGACGCUCCCCGGUCUGGUUCCAGCCGAAAUUGGCUGUGGCGUGUGGCUGACCUCAGGCAAGCAGCUGGAAAAGGAAAAGCUUUUUUGUGCAAGGGCCUCCUGCAGCCCAGCAAUUUCUUGGAAUGGUGCUGGUUGCCCAAGCUGGGACGAGCCAUCUCAGGCCUCCCCCAGCCUGGAUGGGAUGCACUUGGUGGACUUGAAAUGAAAGGAGCUACAUUGGUGACAGACAACAAGACAAAAGAACAGUACAGCCCUGCCCUAAUGCAAGAUAUCCAUGGUCCCGGUACUGCUCCAAGCACACGACUGCAGAUCCACAGCAUGGAUGUGCAGAAACUGUGCCUGGAGCUGGAAUGUCUGUGAGCUCCCAGGGGCUUUGGGGUGCUCCCUCUCCUCCCAAAGAGUUCCUCCCUCUAGCCAGCCCAGCCUGGAAAGGAGCCAGCAAGCUCUGGAGUGACCCU
Long non-coding RNA from Ficedula albicollis (Collared flycatcher), 1215 nucleotides. RefSeq lists it as uncharacterized. NCBI's taxonomy places the organism in Eukaryota, Metazoa, Chordata, Aves, Passeriformes, Muscicapidae. The record is from RefSeq and is a predicted model, not a curated record. The transcript has 2 exons.